This 73-nucleotide transfer RNA is filed under the name Candida tropicalis. RNAcentral describes it as "tRNA-Tyr (GTA) (tRNA-Tyr-GTA-1 1 to 4)". It matches the Rfam family "tRNA". Rfam says of the family: Transfer RNA (tRNA) molecules are approximately 80 nucleotides in length. Their secondary structure includes four short double-helical elements and three loops (D, anti-codon, and T loops). The record is from RNAcentral. Lineage: Eukaryota; Fungi; Ascomycota; Pichiomycetes; Serinales; Debaryomycetaceae. RNAcentral also lists the same sequence under 1 other name.
CUCUCGAUAGCUCAGUUGGUAGAGCAUUAGACUGUAAAUCUAAUGGUCGGGUGUUCGACUCACCCUCGGGAGA